AAAACGUGUCUACCGUAUGUCAUACUGAUAGGGCUGAAACACAAAUAAAUAUUUACAGAAAGUCAUUCAAAAUCUGUGUCCAAAAAGGUAGACCAAAAUCUUGACCCGAACACCCUGGCAGACCACCGUAAAGGGCAGUAAAUCCGUGUAGAUUGGAGAUCGGGCAUUACAGUUACGUUCGAUUACCAGAAUUUUAGUCAGUCAUAUUGGUACAUAGCAAGAUAUUUAUGGUUGCAGGUUAUUCCAGAACGCAGUUUCUCCAUUCAUCGGAGUGUCUUGGUUAAGUCAGGCUUGCGUGGCUUAGGUUCGGGAGAGAUUUGUGGAACAAACGAAAAAAAGAAAAAAAAAAAAACAAUAGCGGAAUAGUACACUGAUUGUGAAACAGACACAUGGUUACAUUAGUUAUUUGUUAAACGUAGAUUGAUUACAAAUUUAAAUUAUUUUUAGCAAUAAAAUCAGCCAGGACAAGGAUGACGUACAUAGGAUAUUUUAGAAAUAACAUUUGUAGAUUAAAGCCAAGAAUGAUGUUGUUUUUCCGAAAAAAGUGUGAGUUUAACUGUGCAUAGGUUAAAAUAGAGCCAUUCCCGAAAUAAGUGAUUAGGUGAUACAAUGGUAAUCACACCGGCACGUCAAUGGAGCACGUCAAUGGAGCCCAUUCUAACUAGGUACGAGAUCUACUCUCCGAACUGAGCCCGUGGUGGGGAUUCCGUUCGAACGAGAAUAAGGGGAAGCGGCACUACUAGGAGUGGCACUAUUACGGGAGCGGACUGUAGUCUCAUCAUAAUGGAUUAUUCAAUCAUCGCGGAAAAAAUUAAAAUGAUUUUGAUCUAUGGUGAAUCCGGAAGAAACAAUCAUAAAGCUAUUACAUUGUACGCUAACCGUUUUCAAAUUGAAAAAUUGAUGUCGUAUAAAAAAAAGUUUGGGACAAAAGUUAUUCAUAAUUUUUAUGUGUAAAAUGCAAAUCUGUAAAAAAAAGUACAUGUUCCCAUUUCAAAAAACAAUGUUGACCUUCAAAUGACCUUGUAAACCUCCACCAAAUCAACAGUACGAUGGCACAGUGUUUUGCCCCCACCGAACCAUGAAACCUUUAUUUCAAAAAUCUUUCUCUAAAAUGGCUGAUUCUCGAGUUAUUCUGCUGUGUCAACUUAAAUGGACCACCUUGUAUAAUGAAACCAAUCCUCUGGGAAUUCACCUAACCGUGAGUGAUAUCAGUGUCUAGUCUGGUCGUAGUUUCCGGACUCUAAAGUAAUACAGUUUUCAGCCGCGAAAGGGAUAGAGACCUUGCUAAAUGCAGAUGCUAUGUCUUUAUCAUCUGGGGAAUGAGUGGGGACUAUCUUGGGGAGGUGGAGUCUGCUUUUAAAGGCCUUGAUUGACCCUCAGACCUUAUCAAGGCUAUAGUCCAGUCAUUACGUCGGAAAAAUCGGGUUAGAAAUGAAAAUGAACCGAGAAAGCCAAAUUUUGGAUAUUACGUGGGGGGCGGCUAGAAAAGCUUAAGUUCAAAUUGUCGACCAAAAUAACUUUGUGCGUUUUCCGCCAUCUUG
Molecule: long non-coding RNA, 1541 nt
Organism: Neodiprion fabricii
Lineage: Eukaryota; Metazoa; Arthropoda; Insecta; Hymenoptera; Diprionidae
Exons: 3
Source: RefSeq, a predicted model, not a curated record